RNAcentral lists this ribosomal RNA (439 nucleotides) under uncultured Nitrospirales bacterium. RNAcentral describes it as "partial 16S ribosomal RNA". It matches the Rfam family "Bacterial small subunit ribosomal RNA", at positions 338 to 794 of the family's 1533-position model. Lineage: Bacteria; Pseudomonadati; Nitrospirota; Nitrospiria; Nitrospirales. The record is from RNAcentral.
CCUACGGGAGGCAGCAGUGGGGAAUUUUGCGCAAUGGGGUAAACCCUGACGCAGCGACGCCGCGUGGAGGAUGAAGGCCUUCGGGUUGUAAACUCCUUUUGUGGGGGACAAUGGUGAUGGUACCCUGCGAAUAAGCCACGGCUAACUCUGUGCCAGCAGCCGCGGUAAGACAGAGGUGGCGAGCGUUGUUCGGAAUUACUGGGCUUAAAGGGCGCGUAGGCGGUGGCGUAAGUCUGGGGUGGAAUUCCACGGCUUAACCGGGGGACUGCCUUGGAGACUGCUUUGCUUGAGUCAGUGAGGGGAGGGCGGAAUUCCCGGUGUAGCGGUGAAAUGCGUAGAUAUCGGGAGGAGGGCCGGUGGCGAGGGCGGCCCUCUGGCGCUUGACUGACGCUGAGGCGCGAAAGCGUGGGGAGCAAACAGGAUUAGAUCCCCCUGUAGU